This 467-nucleotide ribosomal RNA is filed under the name uncultured bacterium. Its description in RNAcentral is "partial 16S ribosomal RNA". It matches the Rfam family "Bacterial small subunit ribosomal RNA", at positions 28 to 506 of the family's 1533-position model. The record is from RNAcentral.
GACGAACGCUGGCGGCGUGCUUAACACAUGCAAGUCGAACGGAAAGGCCCUGCUUUUGUGGGGUGCUCGGGUGGCGAACGGGUGAGUAACACGUGAGUAACCUGCCCUUGACUUUGGGAUAACUUCAGGAAACUGGGGCUAAUACCGGAUAGGAGCUCCUGCUGCAUGGUGGGGGUUGGAAAGUUUCGGCGGUUGGGGAUGGACUCGCGGCUUAUCAGCUUGUUGGUGGGGUAGUGGCUUACCAAGGCUUUGACGGGUAGCCGGCCUGAGAGGGUGACCGGCCACAUUGGGACUGAGAUACGGCCCAGACUCCUACGGGAGGCAGCGGUGGGGAAUAUUGCACAAUGGGCGGAAGCCUGAUGGAGCAACGCCGCGUGGGGGAUGACGGCCUUCGGGUUGUAAACCGCUUUCGCGUGUGACGAAGCGUGAGUGACGGUAAUGGGUAAAGAAGCACCGGCUAACUACGU